GACGAACGCUGGCGGCGUGCCUAACACAUGCAAGUCGAGCGAGUGAAUCUCCUUCGGGAGUGAAGCUAGCGGCGGACGGGUGAGUAACACGUGGGCAACCUGCCUCAUAGAGGGGAAUAGCCUUCCGAAAGGGAGAUUAAUACCGCAUAAGAUUGUAGCUUCGCAUGAAGUAGCAAUUAAAGGAGCAAUCCGCUAUGAGAUGGGCCCGCGGCGCAUUAGCUAGUUGGUGAGGUAAUGGCUCACCAAGGCGACGAUGCGUAGCCGACCUGAGAGGGUGAUCGGCCACAUUGGGACUGAGACACGGCCCAGACUCCUACGGGAGGCAGCAGUGGGGAAUAUUGCACAAUGGGGAAACCCUGAUGCAGCAACGCCGCGUGAGUGAUGACGGCCUUCGGGUUGUAAAGCUCUGUCUUCUAGGACGAUAAUGACGGUACCGUGAGGAGGAAGCCGACGGCUAACUACGUGCCAGCAGCCGACC
This 478-nucleotide ribosomal RNA is filed under the name uncultured bacterium. RNAcentral describes it as "bacterial SSU rRNA". It matches the Rfam family "Bacterial small subunit ribosomal RNA", at positions 28 to 519 of the family's 1533-position model. The record is from RNAcentral.